This 72-nucleotide transfer RNA is filed under the name Occidozyga martensii (round-tongued floating frog). Its description in RNAcentral is "tRNA-Gln". It matches the Rfam family "tRNA". Rfam says of the family: Transfer RNA (tRNA) molecules are approximately 80 nucleotides in length. Lineage: Eukaryota; Metazoa; Chordata; Amphibia; Anura; Dicroglossidae. The record is from RNAcentral.
UAAGGGAUAGUAAAAAUGGAAUUACAAAGGGUUUUGAUCCCUUAAUUAUAGGUUCAAUUCCUAUACCCUUAA